CCAGACUCCUACGGGAGGCAGCAGUGAGGAAUAUUGGACAAUGGUCGGAAGACUGAUCCAGCCAUGCCGCGUGCAGGAUGAAGGUCCUAUGGAUUGUAAACUGCUUUUGUAAGGGAAGAAUAAGGAGUACGUGUACUUUGAUGACGGUACCUUACGAAUAAGCAUCGGCUAACUCCGUGCCAGCAGCCGCGGUAAUACGGAGGAUGCGAGCGUUAUCCGGAAUCAUUGGGUUUAAAGGGUCCGUAGGCGGGCUGAUAAGUCAGAGGUGAAAGCGCUUAGCUCAACUAAGCAACUGCCUUUGAAACUGUCAGUCUUGAAUGAUUGUGAAGUAGUUGGAAUGUGUAGUGUAGCGGUGAAAUGCUUAGAUAUUACACAGAACACCGAUAGCGAAGGCAUAUUACUAACAAUUUAUUGACGCUGAUGGACGAAAGCGUGGGGAGCGAACAGGAUUAGAUACCCUGGUAGUCCACGCUGUAAACGAUGGAUACUAGCUGUUUGGAGCAAUCUGAGUGGCUAAGCGAAAGUGAUAAGUAUCCCACCUGGGGAGUACGCACGCAAGUGUGAAACUCAAAGGAAUUGACGGGGGCCCGCACAAG
This 596-nucleotide ribosomal RNA is filed under the name uncultured bacterium. Its description in RNAcentral is "bacterial SSU rRNA". It matches the Rfam family "Bacterial small subunit ribosomal RNA", at positions 331 to 929 of the family's 1533-position model. The record is from RNAcentral.